AUGGGUGUGAGGAUCAUCUUUAUUCUGCAGGAUGCUGCUUUGGUUCGUUUGGCUUUGCAUGCACUGCAUGGUGUCAAAUCAUCGCUAGAUGAGAUUGACGAGCUUUCUGUGUUGUUCUCCUCAAGUCCGGCAGACAGGACAUCUCAUCGCAUUGCAAAUGUGUGGUCACGGUCAUCUAGCACUGCCUCUAUUGGACAUAUUCUCAGUUCUAUAGGCUCUACAGGUCUUGCAGUUUUCUUCUUGCGCAAGUUUGUGCACUAUUAUCUUUUCCAAAGUCGAGAAGUAAAUUGUGGAAAUAGAGAAGGACAUGGACAUGAUGUUUCUGAUGACAAAGACACUGAGCAUUCUCCUCCUUAUAGUCUAGUGAACCAAGCAUUUGCUGCAGCAGUUGAAAAAGUUCUAGAAGGCUAUUUCUGUUCCUUGAAUACUUUACCACCUUCAGUUAAGCUGAGGCGGUCAGUGGGACAACCUGAUAGACCUUCCAUGACCUCAGAUAGAGCUAGUUGUAAUUCUAGCUCUGAAAUCACUCUUCUGGAAGUUUAUCUCCACACCGAGGAGUUGAGAAGGCAUAUUAAGUCCCUUGGAAAUAUUUGUUUUCCUAAGUUUGCAGGUCUUGCAUUAUGCCAGGAGGGUUUGACUACUGAUUCUAACUUGGAGUUUGAGAAUUUUCCGCGGGGCACUGAUUUGCUUUCUUAUUUGUAUGUCCGCCUUCGUGUAAGCAAUCAUCUUAUUGUUUAA
Molecule: ribosomal RNA, 738 nt
Filed under: Triticum aestivum (bread wheat)
Lineage: Eukaryota; Viridiplantae; Streptophyta; Magnoliopsida; Poales; Poaceae
Description: partial small subunit ribosomal RNA
Source: RNAcentral